Nilaparvata lugens (brown planthopper) is the source of this 417-nucleotide long non-coding RNA. RefSeq lists it as uncharacterized. NCBI's taxonomy places the organism in Eukaryota, Metazoa, Arthropoda, Insecta, Hemiptera, Delphacidae. The transcript has 2 exons. The record is from RefSeq and is a predicted model, not a curated record.
UUAUAGCUGGUACGCAAUUGAUCUUUGUUCAACCUUGUGUAUAAAAUGGCAACACGCAAAGCACAGCAGGUAUACUACUCCGGGUGCUGUACUAGGAAAUUGAAAGGAGUUCACAUUGCUAUUCCAACUCUCAAUAAUAAUGGAAAUUAACACUAUGUUUAAACUACUUUUUCUACUUGUUGGUCUGAUAUUGAUGGCUGUUCUUCCAAUGAACUUGGUAGAGGGCUCCUCACCCGAUCCCGACCCAACUUUUCCAAAUCAUGACGACGACGACGAUGAUGGACUUCCCCCGGAUCAUUGAAGACAAAUGUAAAAUUGUUACCUACUUUGUAUCUUAUUUCUGCUCGAGAUGACCUUCUGCAGCUUGUUUAGUAGAAUAAGAUCGUUGGUUUGGUUGAAUAAAUUUGCAAACAUUGA